RNAcentral lists this ribosomal RNA (492 nucleotides) under uncultured Eubacteriales bacterium. Its description in RNAcentral is "bacterial SSU rRNA". It matches the Rfam family "Bacterial small subunit ribosomal RNA", at positions 8 to 507 of the family's 1533-position model. Lineage: Bacteria; Bacillati; Bacillota; Clostridia; Eubacteriales. The record is from RNAcentral.
AGAGUUUUGAUCCUGGCUCAGGAUAAACGCUGGCGGCGCACAUAAGACAUGCAAGUCGAACGGACUUAACCUAUUAGUUUUACUAUUUGGGGCGGUUAGUGGCGGACUGGUGAGUAACACGUAAGCAACCUGCCUAUCAGAGGGAACAACAGUUAGAAAUGACUGCUAAUACCGCAUAUACCUAAGUAACGCAUGUUACAAUAGGGAAAGGAGAAAUCCGCUGAUAGAUGGGCUUGCGUCUGAUUAGAUAGUUGUGGGGUAAAGGCCUACCAAGUCGACGAUCAGUAGCCGGACUGAGAGGUUGAACGGCCACAUUGGGACUGAGAUACGGCCCAGACUCCUACGGGAGGCAGCAGUCGGGAAUACUGCGCAAUGGAGGAAACUCUGACGCAGUGACGCCGCGUGCAGGAAGAAGGUUUUCGGAUUGUAAACUGCUUUAGACAGGGAAGAAACAAGACAGUACCUGUAGAAUAAGCUCCGGCUAACUACGUG